UAGGGCUUAGUUAAUGAAUAAUUUUGGUCUGUCAGUCCAAGGUAGUGGGUGAUCCACAGCCCUAU
This 65-nucleotide transfer RNA is filed under the name Ophioceres incipiens. Its description in RNAcentral is "tRNA-Asp". Lineage: Eukaryota; Metazoa; Echinodermata; Ophiuroidea; Amphilepidida; Ophiolepididae. The record is from RNAcentral.